AAAGUCCCCUUCGGGGGAUAAGUAGAGUGGCGUCCGGGUGAGUAACACGUAGGUAAUCUACCUUUGGGUGGGGAAUAACGCAGGGAAACUUGCGCUAAUACCGCAUAAUGCAGCGGCACCACAUGGUGACAGUUGUUAAAGCGGGGGAUUUUCGAACCUCGCGCCUAAAGAGGAGCCUGCGGCAGAUUAGCUAGUUGGUAGGGUAACGGCUUACCAAGGCGACGAUCUGUAGCCGGCCUGAGAGGGCGGUCGGCCACACUGACACUGACAUACGGGUCAGACUCCUACGGGAGGCAGCAGUCGGGAAUUUUGGGCAAUGGGCGAAAGCCUGACCCAGCAACGCCGCGUGAAGGAUGAAAUCCUUCGGGAUGUAAACUUCGCAAGAAUGGGAAGAAUUAGUAGGGGUUAAUACCCUCUAUGAUGACGGUACCAUUUGUAAGCUCCGGCUAACUCCGUGCCAGCAGCCGCGGUAAUACGGGGGGAGCAAGCGUUGUUCGGAUUUACUGGGCGUAAAGGGCGCGUAGGCGGUCAGCACAAGUCAGUUGUGAAAUCUCCGGGCUUAACUCGGAAAGGUCAACUGAUACUGUGCGACUAGAGUGCAGAAGGGGCAACUGGAAUUCUCGGUGUAGCGGUGAAAUGCGUAGAUAUCGAGAGGAACACCUGCGGCGAAGGCGGGUUGCUGGGCUGACACUGACGCUGAUGCGCGAAAGCCAGGGGAGCGAACGGGAUUAGAUACCCCGGUAGUCCUGGCCUUAAACGAUGGAUGCUUGGUGUCUGGAGUUUUAUAGUCUCCGGGUGCCGUAGCUAACGCGUUAAGCAUCCCGCCUGGGGAGUACGGUCGCAAGACUG
RNAcentral lists this ribosomal RNA (849 nucleotides) under uncultured Bacillota bacterium. Its description in RNAcentral is "bacterial SSU rRNA". It matches the Rfam family "Bacterial small subunit ribosomal RNA", at positions 70 to 896 of the family's 1533-position model. The record is from RNAcentral. Lineage: Bacteria; Bacillati; Bacillota.